UGGGGAAUUUUGGACAAUGGGCGAAAGCCUGAUCCAGCAAUGCCGCGUGUGUGAAGAAGGCCUUCGGGUUGUAAAGCACUUUUGUCCGGAAAGAAAUCCUCUGGGUUAAUACCUCGGGGGGAUGACGGUACCGGAAGAAUAAGCACCGGCUAACUACGUGCCAGCAGCCGCGGUAAUACGUAGGGUGCAAGCGUUAAUCGGAAUUACUGGGCGUAAAGCGUGCGCAGGCGGUUUUGUAAGACGGAUGUGAAAUCCCCGGGCUUAACCUGGGAACUGCAUUCGUGACUGCAAGGCUAGAGUAUGGCAGAGGGGGGUAGAAUUCCACGUGUAGCAGUGAAAUGCGUAGAGAUGUGGAGGAAUACCGAUGGCGAAGGCAGCCCCCUGGGCCAAUACUGACGCUCAUGCACGAAAGCGUGGGGAGCAAACAGGAUUAGAUACCCUGGUAGUCCACGCCCUAAACGAUGUCAACUAGUUGUUGGGGAUUCAUUUCCUUAGUAACGUAGCUAACGCGUGAAGUUGACCGCCUGGGGAGUACGGUCGCAAGAUUAAAACUUAAAUGAAUUGACGGGGUCUUAGCUGUUUCCU
RNAcentral lists this ribosomal RNA (585 nucleotides) under uncultured bacterium. RNAcentral's name for it is "partial 16S ribosomal RNA". It matches the Rfam family "Bacterial small subunit ribosomal RNA", at positions 355 to 938 of the family's 1533-position model. The record is from RNAcentral.